RNAcentral lists this transfer RNA (74 nucleotides) under Bradyrhizobium ottawaense. Its description in RNAcentral is "tRNA-Arg". It matches the Rfam family "tRNA", at positions 15 to 71 of the family's 71-position model. Rfam says of the family: Transfer RNA (tRNA) molecules are approximately 80 nucleotides in length. Their secondary structure includes four short double-helical elements and three loops (D, anti-codon, and T loops). Lineage: Bacteria; Pseudomonadati; Pseudomonadota; Alphaproteobacteria; Hyphomicrobiales; Nitrobacteraceae. RNAcentral also lists the same sequence under 3 other names. The record is from RNAcentral.
GAGGCGGGGUGUCUUGGCCGAAUAGCGGAUUUCUACUCCGCGGGUUGCAGGUUCGAAUCCUGCCGGGAUCGCCA